GACGAACGCUGGCGGCGUGCUUAACACAUGCAAGUCGAACGGAAAGGCCCUGCUUUUGUGGGGUGCUCGAGUGGCGAACGGGUGAGUAACACGUGAGUAACGUGCCCUUGACUUUGGGAUAACUUCAGGAAACUGGGGCUAAUACCGGAUAGGAGCUCCUGCUGCAUGGUGGGGGUUGGAAAGUUUCGGCGGUUGGGGAUGGAUUCGCGGCUUAUCAGCUUGUUGGUGGGGUAGUGGCUUACCAAGGCUUUGACGGGUAGCCGGCCUGAGAGGGUGACCGGCCACAUUGGGACUGAGAUACGGCCCAGACUCCUACGGGAGGCAGCAGUGGGGAAUAUUGCACAAUGGGCGGAAGCCUGAUGCAGCAACGCCGCGUGCGGGAUGACGGCCUUCGGGUUGUAAACCGCUUUCGCCUGUGACGAAGCGUGAGUGACGGUAAUGGGUAAAGAAGCACCGGCUAACUACGUG
This 468-nucleotide ribosomal RNA is filed under the name uncultured bacterium. Its description in RNAcentral is "partial 16S ribosomal RNA". It matches the Rfam family "Bacterial small subunit ribosomal RNA", at positions 28 to 507 of the family's 1533-position model. The record is from RNAcentral.